AUUGAACGCUGGCGGCAGGCCUAACACAUGCAAGUCGAGCGGAUGAAGGGUGCUUGCUCCUGGAUUCAGCGGCGGACGGGUGAGUAAUGCCUAGGAAUCUUCCUUGUAGUGGUGGAUAACGUCCGGAAACGUGCGCUUAUUCCGCAUACGUCCUGAGGGAGGAAGUGGGGGAUCUUCGGACCUCUCGCUAUCAGAUUAUCCUGGGUCUGAUUAGCUAGUUGGUGGGGUAAAGGGCUACCAAGGCGAAGAUCCGUAACUGGUCUGAGAGGUGGAUCAGUCACACGGGAACGGAGACAGGGACAAGAGUACUGCGGGAGGGAGCAGUGGGGAAUAUUGGGCAGUAGGCGGAAACAUGGUCCAACGAGGCCGCGUGUGUGAAGAAGGUGUUCGGAGAGUAAAGAACGUUAGGUUGGGAGGAAGGGCAGUAAGUUAAUACGAUGCUGAAGUGACGUUACCAACAGAAUAAGCACCGGCUAACUUCGUG
RNAcentral lists this ribosomal RNA (484 nucleotides) under uncultured bacterium. RNAcentral describes it as "partial 16S ribosomal RNA". It matches the Rfam family "Bacterial small subunit ribosomal RNA", at positions 30 to 507 of the family's 1533-position model. The record is from RNAcentral.